CCUUGCGUGAGCAGCUGCUUAUUGAAGAGGUGAGGCCGGCCCUGAAGUUCAGGAUAAGCCCUAAAGGUUUCUGAUGUGGGUGGUUGUGAUGAAUGAGAUCACCCAACACAGCAUGUGACAGAGUUAGAGAUGGUCAAUAAAAGUUCAAAAGUUCCAUGCCUGUACUAUGGCAGCCCCGGCCAGUAUCCAUCCUCAAAGUCCUGC
This is a long non-coding RNA of Choloepus didactylus (southern two-toed sloth), 204 nucleotides long. RefSeq lists it as uncharacterized. Lineage: Eukaryota; Metazoa; Chordata; Mammalia; Pilosa; Megalonychidae. The transcript is spliced from 3 exons. The record is from RefSeq and is a predicted model, not a curated record.